AUUGAACGCUGGCGGCAUGGCUAAAGCAUGCAAGUCGAACGACUAGCAAUAGAAGUGGCGAAAGGGCGAGGAAUAGAUUCCCACGUACCCCGAGGUCAGGGAUACCUCAGAGAAAUCUGAGACAAUACCUGAUAAUAUCGGAAACGAUCAAAGGUUUACCACCUUGGGAGCGGGGAAUCUCCUAUCAGCUAGUUGGUGAGGUAAUGGCUCACCAAGGCGAAGACGGGUAGCGGGUGUGAGAGCACGGCCCGCCGCAUCGAGACUGAGACACUGCUCGGACUCCUACGGGAGGCUGCAGUAACGAAUCUUCCGCAAUGCACGAAAGUGUGACGGGGCAAUGCCGCGUGUGGGAUGAAGCCCUUCGGGGUGUAAACUACUGUCAGGGACUACCAACAACAUGAGGAGUCCCAAAGGAAGAGCCGGCUAACUCUGUGCCAGCAGCCGCGGUAAUACAGAGGGCUCGAGCGUUAAUCGGAAUCACUGGGCUUAAAGCGUGCGUAGGCGGAUUUGAAGGCGCUUUGUGAAAUCCCUCGGCUCAACCGAGGAACUGCUUGGCGAACCACAAAUCUUGAGGCUGGUAGAGGUGGUCGGAACAAUAGGUGGAGCGGUGAAAUGCGUAGAUAUCUAUUGGAACACCGAAGGUGAAGACAGGCCACUGGGCCAGUCCUGACGCUGAGGCACGAAAGCGUGGGUAGCAAACGGGAUUAGAUACCCCGGUAGUCCACGCCGUAAACGAUGCGCACUUGGUCGAGGGGGGUUGAACGCCUUCUCGGCCGUAGGAAAACUGAUUAGUGCGCCGCCUGGGGAGUACGGUCGCAAGAUUAAAACUCAAAGGAAUUGACGGGGGCUCACACAAGCGGUGGAGCAUGUGGCUUAAUUCGAAGCAACGCGAAGAACCUUAUCCUAGGCUUGACAUGCACGGAUUAACCUCCUGAAAGGGAGGCAACACUCGCAAGAGUGGAACGUGCACAGGUGCUGCAUGGCUGUCGUCAGCUCGUGCUGUGAAGUGUCGGGUUAAGUCCCUCAACGAGCGCAACCCCUGUCACUAGUUGCAAACAGGUAAUGCUGUGGACUCUAGUGAGACUGCCGGUGUCAAACCGGAGGAAGGUGGGGAUGACGUCAAGUCCUCAUGGCCCUUAUGCCUAGGGCUGCACACGUGCUACAAUGGCACCGACAGAACGAUCCGAGACCGCAAGGUGGAGGAAAUCGCUCAAAAGGUGCCCCAGUUCGGAUUGGAGGCUGCAACUCGCCUCCAUGAAGUUGGAAUCGCUAGUAAUCGCGGAUCAGCUACGCCGCGGUGAAUAUGUUCCUGAGCCUUGUACACACCGCCCGUCAAGUCAUGGAAGCCGGUAGCGCCCGAAGUCGCCUCAUUUCAGGGGUGCCCACGGCGAGGCUGGUGACUGGG
Molecule: ribosomal RNA, 1405 nt
Filed under: uncultured Planctomycetaceae bacterium
Lineage: Bacteria; Pseudomonadati; Planctomycetota; Planctomycetia; Planctomycetales; Planctomycetaceae
Description: 16S ribosomal RNA
Rfam family: Bacterial small subunit ribosomal RNA
Source: RNAcentral